GAAAAUUUAGUUAAAUAUAUAACAUUAGCUUGUCAUGCUAAAGUUGCUGCCUUGUAAGCAAUUUUCU
RNAcentral lists this transfer RNA (67 nucleotides) under Fistulobalanus kondakovi. RNAcentral's name for it is "tRNA-Asp". It matches the Rfam family "tRNA". From Rfam's summary of the family: Transfer RNA (tRNA) molecules are approximately 80 nucleotides in length. Their secondary structure includes four short double-helical elements and three loops (D, anti-codon, and T loops). Further hydrogen bonds mediate the characteristic L-shaped molecular structure. tRNAs have two regions of fundamental functional importance: the anti-codon, which is responsible for specific mRNA codon recognition, and the 3' end, to which the tRNAs corresponding amino acid is attached (by aminoacyl-tRNA synthetases). tRNAs cope with the degeneracy of the genetic code in two manners: having more than one tRNA (with a specific anti-codon) for a particular amino acid; and 'wobble' base-pairing, i.e. permitting non-standard base-pairing at the 3rd anti-codon position. The record is from RNAcentral. Lineage: Eukaryota; Metazoa; Arthropoda; Thecostraca; Balanomorpha; Balanidae. RNAcentral also lists the same sequence under 1 other name.